UACGAAGGGGGCUAGCGUUGUUCGGAAUCACUGGGCGUAAAGCGCACGUAGGCGGAUUGUUAAGUCGGGGGUGAAAUCCUGAGGCUCAACCUCAGAACUGCCUUCGAUACUGCGGGUCUCGAGUCCGGGAGAGGUGAGUGGAAUUCCUAGUGUAGAGGUGAAAUUCGUAGAUAUUAGGAAGAACACCAGUGGCGAAGGCGGCUCACUGGCCCGGUACUGACGCUGAGGCGCGAAAGCGUGGGGAGCAAACAGG
Molecule: ribosomal RNA, 253 nt
Filed under: uncultured bacterium
Lineage: Bacteria
Description: partial 16S ribosomal RNA
Rfam family: Bacterial small subunit ribosomal RNA
Source: RNAcentral